GCGCCCGUCCUAGGGGAGUAGUCUCCCGCGAGCAGCAGCUCGCCCGGCACGCGUCAACAUACUUGGUCCACCGACCAUGGUGCGUGCGACCCACAGCCCAGCAACACGGGCUGGCGCAUUGUUAACCAGCAGCCGCU
This 137-nucleotide small RNA is filed under the name Pseudomonadales bacterium. Its description in RNAcentral is "Manganese sequence". It matches the Rfam family "Manganese Mn2+ riboswitch aptamer (yybP-ykoY)". From Rfam's summary of the family: This RNA was originally discovered in E. coli during a large scale screen and was named SraF. The family was later found to exist upstream of related families of protein genes in many bacteria, including the the yybP and ykoK genes in B. subtilis. The record is from RNAcentral. Lineage: Bacteria; Pseudomonadati; Pseudomonadota; Gammaproteobacteria; Pseudomonadales.